GAUGAACGCUGGCGGCGUGCCUAAUACAUGCAAGUAGAACGCUGAAGCUUGGUGCUUGCACCGAGCGGAAGAGUUGCGAACGGGUGAGUAACGCGUAGGUAACCUGCCUCUUAGCGGGGGAUAACUAUUGGAAACGAUAGCUAAUACCGCAUAAAAGUCGGCAUUGCAUGAUGUUGACUUGAAAGGUGCAACUGCAUCACUAAGAGAUGGACCUGCGUUGUAUUAGCUAGUUGGUGAGGUAACGGCUCACCAAGGCGACGAUACAUAGCCGACCUGAGAGGGUGAUCGGCCACACUGGGACUGAGACACGGCCCAGACUCCUACGGGAGGCAGCAGUAGGGAAUCUUCGGCAAUGGACGGAAGUCUGACCGAGCAACGCCGCGUGAGUGAAGAAGGUUUUCGGAUCGUAAAGCUCUGUUGUAAGAGAAGAACGAGUGUGAGAGUGGAAAGUUCACACUGUGACGGUAACUUACCAGAAAGGGACGGCUAACUACGUGCCAGCAGCCGCGGUAAUACGUAGGUCCCGAGCGUUAUCCGGAUUUAUUGGGCGUAAAGCGAGCGCAGGCGGUUAGAUAAGUCUGAAGUUAAAGGCUGUGGCUUAACCAUAGUACGCUUUGGAAACUGUUUAACUUGAGUGCAGAAGGGGAGAGUGGAAUUCCAUGUGUAGCGGUGAAAUGCGUAGAUAUAUGGAGGAACACCGGUGGCGAAGGCGGCUCUCUGGUCUGUAACUGACGCUGAGGCUCGAAAGCGUGGGGAGCAAACAGG
Molecule: ribosomal RNA, 765 nt
Filed under: uncultured Bacilli bacterium
Lineage: Bacteria; Bacillati; Bacillota; Bacilli
Description: bacterial SSU rRNA
Rfam family: Bacterial small subunit ribosomal RNA
Source: RNAcentral